GGCCUGGUGGUCUAGUAGUAUGAUUCCUUCUUAGGGCUGUUGAACUCAACACAAUUUGGAGGAGGUCCCGGGUUCAAUUCCCGGCCAGGCCC
Trametes polyzona is the source of this 92-nucleotide non-coding RNA. Lineage: Eukaryota; Fungi; Basidiomycota; Agaricomycetes; Polyporales; Polyporaceae. The record is from the annotation of a GenBank genome assembly.